UGGGGGAUAUUGCACAAUGGGCGAAAGCCUGAUGCAGCGACGCCGCGUGGGGGAUGAAGGCCUUCGGGUUGUAAACUUCUUUUGCUCUGAACAAGGCAUGCUAAUGGGUGUGUUGAGUGUAGGGGUUGAUUAGCGCCGGCUAACUACGUGCCAGCAGCCGCGGUAAUACGUAGGGCGCGAGCGUUGUCCGGAAUUAUUGGGCGUAAAGGGCUUGUAGGUGGCUGGUUGCGUCUGUCGUGAAAGCUCAUGGCUUAACUGUGGGUUUGCGGUGGGUACGGGCUGGCUUGAGUGCAGUAGGGGAGGCUGGAAUUCCUGGUGUAGCGGUGGAAUGCGCAGAUAUCAGGAGGAAUACCGGUGGCGAAGGCGGGUCUCUGUGCUGUUACUGACACUGAGGAGCGAAAGCAUGGGGAGCGAACAGG
RNAcentral lists this ribosomal RNA (419 nucleotides) under bacterium. Its description in RNAcentral is "partial 16S ribosomal RNA". It matches the Rfam family "Bacterial small subunit ribosomal RNA", at positions 355 to 776 of the family's 1533-position model. The record is from RNAcentral.